GGGGCUGUAGCUCAGUGGUAGAGCAUUUGCCUUGCAUGUGUGAGGCACUGGGUUCAAUCCUCAGCACCA
RNAcentral lists this transfer RNA (69 nucleotides) under Marmota monax (woodchuck). It matches the Rfam family "tRNA". Rfam says of the family: Transfer RNA (tRNA) molecules are approximately 80 nucleotides in length. Their secondary structure includes four short double-helical elements and three loops (D, anti-codon, and T loops). RNAcentral also lists the same sequence under 2 other names. The record is from Rfam by way of RNAcentral. Lineage: Eukaryota; Metazoa; Chordata; Mammalia; Rodentia; Sciuridae.